RNAcentral lists this long non-coding RNA (315 nucleotides) under Ornithorhynchus anatinus (platypus). RNAcentral's name for it is "lncRNA (ENSOANG00000037902.1)". Lineage: Eukaryota; Metazoa; Chordata; Mammalia; Monotremata; Ornithorhynchidae. The record is from RNAcentral.
GUUGCAUUUGUUACUUAUAGUGCCGGAUGCUGUUUUCAUGUCACAACUUUCCCAAUGUCUCUGCCCUCUUGAUAAUCUGGAUAUUCCUUCUAUGAAUGGGCUCGAUUAGCUGCAAAGACUGUUGGAAUUUAUCAGAUAAAUGUUAAUCUUCUUCGUCAAUUCAGACGGAUAAUCCUAAAUCCUUUUUCUGCUGGGGGAAAAUCCCAGCUUCUGAGGAGGUGGCCAUUGAAAGACGGAAACGAAUGCGAGGAAGGCUUGUUCAUCAGAGAGGAGGUUUUCUUGCUGCCUUUAAUAAUAUUGAAGUCUCAAGUCAUU